This 854-nucleotide ribosomal RNA is filed under the name Escherichia coli. Its description in RNAcentral is "partial 23S ribosomal RNA". It matches the Rfam family "Bacterial large subunit ribosomal RNA", at positions 418 to 1272 of the family's 2925-position model. The record is from RNAcentral. Lineage: Bacteria; Pseudomonadati; Pseudomonadota; Gammaproteobacteria; Enterobacterales; Enterobacteriaceae.
CGGGACACGUGGUAUCCUGUCUGAAUAUGGGGGGACCAUCCUCCAAGGCUAAAUACUCCUGACUGACCGAUAGUGAACCAGUACCGUGAGGGAAAGGCGAAAAGAACCCCGGCGAGGGGAGUGAAAAAGAACCUGAAACCGUGUACGUACAAGCAGUGGGAGCACGCUUAGGCGUGUGACUGCGUACCUUUUGUAUAAUGGGUCAGCGACUUAUAUUCUGUAGCAAGGUUAACCGAAUAGGGGAGCCGAAGGGAAACCGAGUCUUAACUGGGCGUUAAGUUGCAGGGUAUAGACCCGAAACCCGGUGAUCUAGCCAUGGGCAGGUUGAAGGUUGGGUAACACUAACUGGAGGACCGAACCGACUAAUGUUGAAAAAUUAGCGGAUGACUUGUGGCUGGGGGUGAAAGGCCAAUCAAACCGGGAGAUAGCUGGUUCUCCCCGAAAGCUAUUUAGGUAGCGCCUCGUGAAUUCAUCUCCGGGGGUAGAGCACUGUUUCGGCAAGGGGGUCAUCCCGACUUACCAACCCGAUGCAAACUGCGAAUACCGGAGAAUGUUAUCACGGGAGACACACGGCGGGUGCUAACGUCCGUCGUGAAGAGGGAAACAACCCAGACCGCCAGCUAAGGUCCCAAAGUCAUGGUUAAGUGGGAAACGAUGUGGGAAGGCCCAGACAGCCAGGAUGUUGGCUUAGAAGCAGCCAUCAUUUAAAGAAAGCGUAAUAGCUCACUGGUCGAGUCGGCCUGCGCGGAAGAUGUAACGGGGCUAAACCAUGCACCGAAGCUGCGGCAGCGACACUAUGUGUUGUUGGGUAGGGGAGCGUUCUGUAAGCCUGUGAAGGUGUACUGUGAGGUAUG